Molecule: long non-coding RNA, 614 nt
Organism: Oryzias melastigma (Indian medaka)
Lineage: Eukaryota; Metazoa; Chordata; Actinopteri; Beloniformes; Adrianichthyidae
Exons: 2
Source: RefSeq, a predicted model, not a curated record
CCUCAAGAGAGGCGGGAGAGUGUAGGGUGGUGAUGGAGGAGAGUGUGGAAGUACAGAAAAAAACAUUAGGACUGUGAUUUUCUCCAGCCUGGGGACGACAUGCUGGAUAGCUUGACUGGCCAGAGACCGCUGUUCUGGAUAUGAUUUAUAUUGCAUAUGGAGCAACGGAGGAUCUGAACAAUUGGAAGGCCUGGCUGCAUUUUCCUGGACACAGCACAGGAGAUUUCCACCCCUAUAAGACGCACAACAUGGAAGUCGAACAUUCGCAUAACCAGAUCUCUAGGGGUCAGCUGCUACAAGUGUUUGCAAAAUAAGAGCAGAGAGAAGCUUUUGGCGGUGCCUUCUCACUCCCAUCCAAAAAAAAAAAAAAGACCCAUUGGAAAACUGCCUGUUCCAGAAUUCACCACAAAGGUCCAAAUUUUCCUUCCUGUCAUCUCACUUUUCAUGGGUCUCUGUUUUGGCAGGCACGCCGAGGUCUGCAUAGUCCUUUUACAGCGGUGGAGCUCCAGAUCUCUUUGAAACCACCUUCAUCACAAGGCAAGAAGAUAGAAAUCCACAUUGCAGCAGCUCUCCGUGGAGACUUUAUGUUAAAAAAACAAAAUGCCAAAAAAAAA